GUGAAUCAUCAAAUUUUUGAACGCAUAUUGCACUCUCGGGUAUUCCGGGGAGUAUGCCUGUUUGAGGGUCAUUUGAAAUCAUAUAAAUUACAAGAUUUUUCGGACUUUAAAAUGGGUUGUCGAUUGUUUGUGGUCGCCUAAAAUCUAAGACAAGCUCAUUAUCUUGGGUUGCGUGGUACUUUUGGUUACCUCGUUACUUAACCAGGGAAUAUAAAGCGGG
RNAcentral lists this unclassified non-coding RNA (220 nucleotides) under Archaeospora sp. Its description in RNAcentral is "partial contains 5.8S ribosomal RNA and internal transcribed spacer 2". The stretch from base 1 to 71 matches the Rfam family "5.8S ribosomal RNA", at positions 84 to 154 of the family's 154-position model. The record is from RNAcentral. Lineage: Eukaryota; Fungi; Glomeromycota; Glomeromycetes; Archaeosporales; Archaeosporaceae.